CUGCGGCCGUGAGAUGCAGGAGGAGAUGGGACGGACAGGGGAGAGCGGCUGAGGCUGCGGGCUGGACGCAGCCAGGCCAUGGGGCAGCUGGAGCUGCUGUGGGCGGCUGCCGCACUGAUGCUGCUCGGGGCCAUUGUCAGCCUCUGUGUCAAGUGCCAGCUCUCUGCCACCAAGCGCAAGAAGCAGCAGAGUGAGCGGAG
RNAcentral lists this long non-coding RNA (200 nucleotides) under Columba livia (rock pigeon). Its description in RNAcentral is "partial uncharacterized LOC102090571". The record is from RNAcentral. Lineage: Eukaryota; Metazoa; Chordata; Aves; Columbiformes; Columbidae.